This is a non-coding RNA of Pteropus alecto (black flying fox), 73 nucleotides long. NCBI's taxonomy places the organism in Eukaryota, Metazoa, Chordata, Mammalia, Chiroptera, Pteropodidae. The record is from Rfam.
GAUUCCAGAGUGUAGCAGUUAGCACGGCUGCUUUACAUGCAGAAGGUCCUGGGUUCGUGCUCCAGUGGACCCA